Long non-coding RNA from Trichomycterus rosablanca, 188 nucleotides. RefSeq lists it as uncharacterized. The transcript has 2 exons. NCBI's taxonomy places the organism in Eukaryota, Metazoa, Chordata, Actinopteri, Siluriformes, Trichomycteridae. The record is from RefSeq and is a predicted model, not a curated record.
GGGAAAAAAAAGAAAUGUCCAGAACAAUGUCAAAGUCCAUCCUAAUGGAUUAUAAAGUAAAUCAAAAGAGUUCUUCUGGUGUAUCUGAUUCUGCUGGCCCUUGUUCUCCUAGUGCCUUUGAUGAUUCAGGAUCUCAGGUUAGCUAACACACCUAACCUCAUGUCAAUAUUAAAAAAUGUUUUCCUUUG